CAAGUCGAGCGGAAACGACAUCUUCGGAUGGGCGUCGAGCGGCGGACGGGUGAGUAAUGCCUAGGAAUCUGCCCUUUUGUGGAGGAUAACCCGGGGAAACUCGGGCUAAUACUGCAUAAUCUCUACGGAGCAAAGCGGGGCUCUUCUACCCUCGCGCAGAAGGAUGAGCCUAGGUCUGAUUAGCUUGUUGGUGGGGUAACGGCCUACCAAGGCGACGAUCAGUAGCUGGUCUGAGAGGAUGAUCAGCCACACCGCGACUGAGACACGGCCAAGACUCCUACGGGAGGCAGCAGUGGGGAAUAUUGGACAAUGGGCGAAAGCCUGAUCCAGCCAUGCCGCGUGUGUGAAGAAGGCCUUAGGGUUGUAAAGCACUUUAAGCAGGAAAGAAAAGCGCCGGAUUAAUACUCCGAGCGUAUUGACGGUACCUGCAGAAUAAGCACCAGCUAACUCCGUGCCAGCAGCCGCGGUAAUACGGAGGGUGCAAGCGUUAAUCGGAAUUACUGGGCGUAAGGCGUGCGUAGGCGGUUGCGUGUGUCGGAUGUGAAAGCCCCGGGCUCAACCUGGGAAUUGCAUUCGAAACUGCGUGACUAGAAU
This 594-nucleotide ribosomal RNA is filed under the name uncultured bacterium KC520. Its description in RNAcentral is "bacterial SSU rRNA". It matches the Rfam family "Bacterial small subunit ribosomal RNA", at positions 58 to 647 of the family's 1533-position model. The record is from RNAcentral. Lineage: Bacteria; Pseudomonadati; Pseudomonadota; Alphaproteobacteria.